RNAcentral lists this long non-coding RNA (273 nucleotides) under Mytilus galloprovincialis (Mediterranean mussel). The record is from RNAcentral. Lineage: Eukaryota; Metazoa; Mollusca; Bivalvia; Mytilida; Mytilidae.
UCCUCUAUGCAUACUACUGUUCGAUGCCUCUGCAUUAACUAUUCUAUUAAAUGUUGGAAGUUUUUGAUUAUAUUGAAGUCAUUGUAGAUGAAUCCGAGCGCUCGUUCUUGUAGUUUUUUUUUUUGUAUUUUUCCGCCGUAGCUACGGCCCAGGGCAUUUUGUGUUACCACCACCCGUCCGGCCGUCCGUCCUAGUUAUUUCUUUUUCGUUUCCUAUUUUUCUAUUCUCAUUUGCCUACAAUGUCACCGUGUUAGCGUGUUACUCAAGGAUAAU